Ostrinia nubilalis (European corn borer) is the source of this 322-nucleotide long non-coding RNA. RefSeq lists it as uncharacterized. The record is from RefSeq and is a predicted model, not a curated record. The transcript is spliced from 3 exons. Lineage: Eukaryota; Metazoa; Arthropoda; Insecta; Lepidoptera; Crambidae.
AGAGCGAAGAGGCGCGAGCGGGCGAACUGCGGACACAAGCGGACCGGAAGAGGACCGAGCUGGAGGAAUACGCCGCGAGGACCAUUGAGGACCUGAGGACUAAGGGGAUCAAGAGCACGUCGCCGUCAAGCGGCACGAGCCCCGAUUGUCUGCUGCAGCUGCUGCAGCAGUGCGAGCCCGCGGCCGCGCGCGCCAUCCAGACCACCGUCGACCGCCACAAAAAAGAGCUAGAAGAGUUAGAAGAGGAGCUGGAGUGCCGCGCGUCAUCAGUAGCAUCGCACCGAGUCAAGGUGGAGCGACUCCAAGCUGAACUGCGCCUGCU